AGACCCGAAACCCGGUGAUCUAGCCAUGGGCAGGUUGAAGGUUGGGUAACACUAACUGGAGGACCGAACCGACUAAUGUUGAAAAAUUAGCGGAUGACCUGUGGCUGGGGGUGAAAGGCCAAUCAAACCGGGAGAUAGCUGGUUCUCCCCGAAAGCUAUUUAGGUAGCGCCUCGUGAAUUCAUCUCCGGGGGUAGAGCACUGUUUCGGCUAGGGGGCCAUCCCGGCUUACCAACCCGAUGCAAACUGCGAAUACCGGAGAAUGUUAUCACGGGAGACACACGGCGGGUGCUAACGUCCGUCGUGAAGAGGGAAACAACCCAGACCGCCAGCUAAGGUCCCAAAGUCAUGGUUAAGUGGGAAACGAUGUGGGAAGGCCCAGACAGCCAGGAUGUUGGCUUAGAAGCAGCCAUCAUUUAAAGAAAGCGUAAUAGCUCACUGGUCGAGUCGGCCUGCGCGGAAGAUGUAACGGGGCUAAACCAUGCACCGAAGCUGCGGCAGCGACACUCAGGUGUUGUUGGGUAGGGGAGCGUUCUGUAAGCCUGUGAAGGUGUGUCGUGAGGCAUGCUGGAGGUAUCAGAAGUGCGAAUGCUGACAUAAGUAACGAUAAAGCGGGUGAAAAGCCCGCUCGCCGGAAGACCAAGGGUUCCUGUCCAACGUUAAUCGGGGCAGGGUGAGUCGACCCCUAAGGCGAGGCCGAAAGGCGUAGUCGAUGGGAAACGGGUUAAUAUUCCCGUACUUGGUGUUACUGCGAAGGGGGGACGGAGAAGGCUAUGUUGGCCGGGCGACGGUUGUCCCGGUUUAAGCGUGUAGGUGUGUGUUCCAGGUAAAUCCGGU
Molecule: ribosomal RNA, 835 nt
Filed under: Salmonella enterica subsp. enterica serovar Enteritidis
Lineage: Bacteria; Pseudomonadati; Pseudomonadota; Gammaproteobacteria; Enterobacterales; Enterobacteriaceae
Description: partial 23S ribosomal RNA
Rfam family: Bacterial large subunit ribosomal RNA
Source: RNAcentral